UACGUAGGGUGCAGGCGUUAAUCGGAAUUACUGGGCGUAAAGCGUGCGCAGGCGGUCUAUUAAGACAGGUGUGAAAUCCCCGGGCUUAACCUGGGAACUGCGCUUGUUACUGGCAGGCUUGAAUCCGGGAGAGGGAUGCGGAAUUCCAGGUGUAGCGGUGAAAUGCGUAGAUAUCUGGAGGAACACCGGUGGCGAAGGCGGCAUCCUGGACCGGCAUUGACGCUGAGGCGCGAAAGCCAGGGGAGCAAACGGG
Molecule: ribosomal RNA, 253 nt
Filed under: uncultured bacterium
Lineage: Bacteria
Description: partial 16S ribosomal RNA
Rfam family: Bacterial small subunit ribosomal RNA
Source: RNAcentral